UUAUGGCAGGAGAUAGAGAGGAGGGUGGGGGGAUCUCAGACAAAGACAUUUCAGCAAAUCACUCCUGCACUGAGCUCAUUUCUCUGCAGUCGCCUUUCAGCUUUCAUUAUUUUGCACCUUUGUGUUUUUUUUUCUCCUCUGCCAAAUCUUCCCUCCCCCAAACUGAUUAAUCCGAUCAACAUGUUUUUCUUAUUCCACUAUAAGAGAUGUGUAUACAUGAUGUGUAUUCUGCCUGCAUUCAUCAGCGACUCCUACAAUGCAUCCCAAACAUUAAUCCUUCGUAAAGUUAGCGAGUGAUGCAAUCUUACUGCAAUGCUGUGCAGACCUCUGUGACUGCAGCCUUCUAUAGAGCAGAACCCAGUGGAGGACAAGUGCAAGUGCACCUGGACCAGGCAUCGCCCACCUAUUCAAACCGACCUAUUACCCCUCAUGUUCUGUAAAUAACCAGCCCUUUGACCUAUGAAAGAAGAGAUUACAGAUGCCUUUGUAUUAUGUUGGACAAUUGUAUAAAAGCCAAGCCUCCUGGCCGGUCCCAGACUAAUUCUCUGAAGGUCAUGUUGCCAGAUUGACUGAGGACCGGAUCCGGGUGGCGCAGGCGAACAAACGUCUCUUCUCUGGUCCACAGACAGGAUGGGAGCAGGUGUCUAUACUGAAGGUUCUUGGAUGCCGCUAUACGUUUACCUCACCUUCCUCUCUUCACACUACUUGAGUCAAUAAUUUCGACUGUGUUAACCAAUAAAAUUAUUUUA
Pseudophryne corroboree (corroboree frog) is the source of this 749-nucleotide long non-coding RNA. RefSeq lists it as uncharacterized. The transcript has 3 exons. NCBI's taxonomy places the organism in Eukaryota, Metazoa, Chordata, Amphibia, Anura, Myobatrachidae. The record is from RefSeq and is a predicted model, not a curated record.